Molecule: ribosomal RNA, 254 nt
Filed under: uncultured bacterium
Lineage: Bacteria
Description: partial 16S ribosomal RNA
Rfam family: Bacterial small subunit ribosomal RNA
Source: RNAcentral
UACGUAGGGUGCGAGCGUUGUCCGGAAUUAUUGGGCGUAAAGAGCUCGUAGGCGGUCUGUCGCGUCGAUCGUGAAAACUUGGGGCUUAACCCUGAGCUUGCGGUCGAUACGGGCAUGACUGGAGUUCGGCAGGGGAGACUGGAAUUCCUGGUGUAGCGGUGAAAUGCGCAGAUAUCAGGAGGAACACCGGUGGCGAAGGCGACUACCUGGCCUGUUCUUGACGCUGAGGCGCGAAAGCUAGGGGAGCAAACAGG